This 394-nucleotide ribosomal RNA is filed under the name Ventrifissura sp. RNAcentral describes it as "partial small subunit ribosomal RNA". It matches the Rfam family "Eukaryotic small subunit ribosomal RNA", at positions 587 to 975 of the family's 1831-position model. The record is from RNAcentral. Lineage: Eukaryota; Cercozoa; Thecofilosea; Ventricleftida; Ventrifissuridae.
AGCUCCAGUAGCGUAUAUUAAAGUUGUUGCAGUUAAAAAGCUCGUAGUUGGAUUUCUGGAUGACCAUGCUGGCCCGCUUUCUUCUGAAGGUGAGUGCCGUCAUGCGUUACCCAUCCUUUCAUAGAACCGUGCCUACCCUUCACUGGGCCGGGCGCGUGUGAUGUGAAUCUUUUACUUUGAAAAAAUUAGAGUGUUUCAAGCAGGCUUAUGCCACUGAAUACAUUAGCAUGGAAUAAUAAUAUAGGACUUCGGUUCUAUUUUGUUGGUUUCUGGAACUGAAGUAAUGAUUGAUAGGGAUAGUUGGGGGUGCUACUAUUCAACGGCCAGAGGUGAAAUUCUUGGAUUCGUUGAAGAGUAACUACUGCGAAAGCAUUCACCAAGGAUGUCUUCUUUA